Molecule: ribosomal RNA, 473 nt
Filed under: uncultured bacterium
Lineage: Bacteria
Description: bacterial SSU rRNA
Rfam family: Bacterial small subunit ribosomal RNA
Source: RNAcentral
AUAGUUUGAUCAUGGCUCACAGCGAACGCUGGCGGCAUGCUUAACACAUGCAAGUCGCACGAAGGCUUCGGCCUUACUGGCGGACGGGUGAGUAACGCGUAGGAAUCUAUCCAUGGGUGGGGGAUAACACUGGGAAACUGGUGCUAAUACCGCAUGAUACCUGAGGGUCAAAGGCGCAAGUCGCCUGUGGAGGAGCCUGCGUUCGAUUAGCUAGUUGGUGGGGUAAAGGCCUACCAAGGCGAUGAUGGAUAGCUGGUUUGAGAGGAUGAUCAUCCACCCUGGGACUGAGACACGGACCAAACUCCUACGGGAGGCAGCAGGGGGGAAUAUUGGACAAUGGGGGCAACCCUGAUCCAGCAAUGCCGCGUGUGUGAAGAAAGUCUUCUAAUUGUAAAGCACAUUCAACGGGGACGAUGAUGACGGUACCCGUAGAACAAGCCCCGGCUAACUUCCUGCCAGCAGCCGCGGUAAUA